AGGACUUUACCUUAACUUAAAGGACCUGAGUUGCAUUCAGGAUAUGUGGGGUAAUAUCCCGCAAGUUCUA
RNAcentral lists this transfer RNA (70 nucleotides) under Amolops chunganensis (Chungan torrent frog). RNAcentral describes it as "tRNA-Ala". It matches the Rfam family "tRNA". From Rfam's summary of the family: Transfer RNA (tRNA) molecules are approximately 80 nucleotides in length. Their secondary structure includes four short double-helical elements and three loops (D, anti-codon, and T loops). Lineage: Eukaryota; Metazoa; Chordata; Amphibia; Anura; Ranidae. The record is from RNAcentral.